Long non-coding RNA from Pezoporus occidentalis (night parrot), 540 nucleotides. RefSeq lists it as uncharacterized. NCBI's taxonomy places the organism in Eukaryota, Metazoa, Chordata, Aves, Psittaciformes, Psittacidae. The record is from RefSeq and is a predicted model, not a curated record. The transcript has 3 exons.
AGCAGCAGCAGCAGCUUGGGAAGUGCUGGUGUAUGUGCGGGCCUAAUGAUAUUGCUCCUUUGACUGAAGUGACAGCUCCUGCAUGAUGUGUAACACAGCGCAGCCAGGAAAUCUCUACACAGGCUAUGUCCUCUCCAGCUUGAUAACUCUCCAGGAAGAGGUUUAGCAGUGGUUAAUUUGAGAAAAUGAAGGAGAACAAAUGUUGCUUAUGUAAAACAAAUGCAGAAGCAUGGAAAACAUGCCUAUUCUUGUGAGAGGUGUGGUGUGCAAUAGCUUAUGAUGAGGUGCAGUUGAAGGGCUGUUAUGACUAAGAUGGAUGCUGCCUCAUACAAGUCUGGUAGCACUACUAUGUGUUUCUUCCUUUCACCUUCCCUACUUCUUGUUCUGCCCUUUGCAGUACUGUCCUUACAUCUUUACUUCAUGGGGAAGAAUAGUUUGUGGGGGAAUACUAGUUGACAACAGAAGCGUGCUUCCAGUUGGACUUUAAGGAUAGAACACAGAAAUAUGUUGCAGAAAUACACUGCAAGAAGGAAAAAAGGG